This is a long non-coding RNA of Tripterygium wilfordii, 719 nucleotides long. RefSeq lists it as uncharacterized. NCBI's taxonomy places the organism in Eukaryota, Viridiplantae, Streptophyta, Magnoliopsida, Celastrales, Celastraceae. The transcript has 2 exons. The record is from RefSeq and is a predicted model, not a curated record.
GAUAAUUUUGCCCUUAUAAAAAAUCUCUAAUCUAAACUCUCUCUCGUGAUCUCACUCUUGUCUCUCACGAUCUCCAAAUCCAUCCAUGGAGAUUGAAGCUCGUAUCCUUCUCUGGUGAUCAACGUCCGUUCUACCUAGCAAAAACAUGUAUUAUUGAUUCGAUUCUUCCAAGCUUCUCUCACUUAUAGGCUAAUCUAAAUUGUCUCUCUCUCAUGAUCUCCAUGGCGAUUCUCCCUCUAUAGUUCGCGAUCCAUGGCAAUUGAAGCUCAUCUCACUCUCUAGUGAUCAACACUCAUUCUACCUCUUAAACAGGUAUGGAUGUAAGAGAUAAAAAAACAUGGUUGGUCACCGAAAGAAGAUGAAAAGCUUGUGGGUUCAAUGCUUAUGUUGAAAAAAAAAGGGAACUCACAAUAAUAACGACAAAGGUGGAUUUACAAAAGGACAUCAAACAGAGUUGGACAUGUUGAGAAUGAUGUUGCCCGGUCAUAACAUAUUUGAGAAGCAUGUUGACUCGCAUAUUAGAACAUUAAAAAAACAUUGUGGGAUUAUCUAUGAUUUGCGAACAAAUCAAGGAAGUGGAUUUGGUUGGGAUGAUGAGAAGAAAUCACUUGUAGCUUCUACAGAUGUAUGGGAUGAGUUUGUAAAGAUAAUAUGUUAAUUUACAGAUAUGUGUGUAUCGAAAACUUUUAGUUUGUCACUAUGUUUUAUUCGUGUUCUAA